Molecule: ribosomal RNA, 497 nt
Filed under: uncultured bacterium
Lineage: Bacteria
Description: partial 16S ribosomal RNA
Rfam family: Bacterial small subunit ribosomal RNA
Source: RNAcentral
GAUGAACGCUGGCGGCGUGCCUAAUACAUGCAAGUCGAGCGAACGGACGAGAAGCUUGCUUCUCUGAUGUUAGCGGCGGACGGGUGAGUAACACGUGGAUAACCUACCUAUAAGACUGUGAUAACUUCGGGAAACCGGAGCUAAUACCGGAUAAUAUUUUGAACCGCAUGGUUCAAAAGUGAAAGACGUUCUUGCUGUCACUUAUAGAUGGAUCCGCGCUGCAUUAGCUAGUUGGUAAGGUAACGGCUUACCAAGGCAACGAUGCAUAGCCGACCUGAGAGGGUGAUCGGCCACACUGGCACUGAGACACGGUCCAGACUCCUACGGGAGGCAGCAGUAGGGAAUCUUCCGCAAUGGGCGAAAGCCUGACGGAGCAACGCCGCGUGAGUGAUGAAGGUCUUCGGAUCGUAAAACUCUGUUAUUAGGGAAGAACAUAUGUGUAAGUAACUGUGCACAUCUUGACGGUACCUAAUCAGAAAGCCACGGCUAACUACGUG